UACAGAGACUGCAAGCGUUAUUCGGAAUCAUUGGGCGUAAAGGGCGCGUAGGCGGCCCCGUAAGUCUUGGGUGAAAGCCCUCGGCUCAACCGAGGAAUUGCCUUGGAUACUGCGGGGCUCGAGGCUGGAAGAGGGCAGUGGAAUUCCUGGUGUAGCGGUGGAAUGCGCAGAUAUCAGGAGGAACACCGAUGGCGAAGGCAGCUCGCUGGGACGGUACUGACGCUGAGGCGCGAAAGCGUGGGGAGCGAACAGG
RNAcentral lists this ribosomal RNA (253 nucleotides) under uncultured bacterium. RNAcentral describes it as "partial 16S ribosomal RNA". It matches the Rfam family "Bacterial small subunit ribosomal RNA", at positions 524 to 776 of the family's 1533-position model. The record is from RNAcentral.